This 565-nucleotide long non-coding RNA is filed under the name Arabidopsis thaliana (thale cress). RNAcentral's name for it is "long non-coding RNA (ATHA_LNC000022)". Lineage: Eukaryota; Viridiplantae; Streptophyta; Magnoliopsida; Brassicales; Brassicaceae. The record is from RNAcentral.
UUAAUCAGACAAAUCGACGAACAGAUUCUAAGAUUCAAUGGCUCGAGAAAAUUAUUUAUAUAAGCCGCCGAAGACAAAACCCUACUCUUCUGUUUGGUAACAGAUAUAUCCUUUGAGACGCAAACUACCUGCCGUUUUCUAAAAACAACUACGCACCGUUUUGUCUAAAACAAAGUCGUUUUUUAGACCACCGAGAAUAGUCUCUCAUCUUUGUCGUGUAACCUGAACCUCCACGUAACGAAAGAAUGCUCUGAACCACAAAAACCAGAAACGUGUCAAACUGCUUCUGUAAAUUUAGUCAUAAAGCAAAUAAUUAACCAUGACGCGUCUCUGAUUUUUCAAACAAAAAAAGCCAAAAAUUCGAUUUGAGUUUAUCAUAUCUUCUUCUAUAAAUAAAUUGAAAUAUUUUUAUACACAUACGUUGUCAAAUGCUAACCACACGUUUGCGUUUAGUAACCGAAAGAACCAAACUGAUAAAUACUACUUCUCCUAUGAGAAUAGUUUUUGGUAAAACUUACAUAAUGGGAAUGGUUUUUGGUAAAAUCGCUGUAGAGACUCCUAAAUA